This 493-nucleotide ribosomal RNA is filed under the name uncultured bacterium. RNAcentral describes it as "partial 16S ribosomal RNA". It matches the Rfam family "Bacterial small subunit ribosomal RNA", at positions 30 to 507 of the family's 1533-position model. The record is from RNAcentral.
AUUGAACGCUGGCGGCAUGCUUUACACAUGCAAGUCGAACGGCAACGAGGAGAAGCUUGCUUCUUUGUCGGCGAGUGGCGAACGGGUGAGUAUAGCAUCGGAACGUGCCAAGUAGUGGGGGAUAACCAAACGAAAGAUUGGCUACUACCGCGCAAGAUCCAAGGAGGAAAGUAGGGGACCUAAAUAAGGCCUUACGCUAUUUGAUCGGCCGAUGUCGGAUUAGCUAGUUGGUGGGGUAAUGGCCCACCAAGGCAAUGAUCCGUAGCGGGUCUGAGAGGACGAUCCGCCACACUGGGACUGAGACACGGCCCAGACUCCUACGGGAGGCAGCAGUGGGGAAUUUUGGACAAUGGGGGAAACCCUGAUCCAGCCAUGCCGCGUGUAUGAAGAAGGCCUUAGGGUUGUAAAGUACUUUUGUUAGGGAAGAAAAGCUAGUUUUUAAUAAAAAUUAGUGAUGACGGUACCUAAAGAAUAAGCACCGGCUAACUACGUG